AAGGUCUCCGUUGGUGAACCAGCGGAGGGAUCAUUG
Molecule: ribosomal RNA, 36 nt
Filed under: Beauveria brongniartii
Lineage: Eukaryota; Fungi; Ascomycota; Sordariomycetes; Hypocreales; Cordycipitaceae
Also listed under: 9 other names
Description: partial 18S ribosomal RNA
Source: RNAcentral